UGUGAGGGGCAUGUGAGGGCUGUCGCUGACUCAAAGUCGUGCACGCCCGAGUGUGUCCUCUCACAUAAUAAUCCAUCUCACCCUUUGUGCAUCGCCGCGUGGGCACCCUUUGGGAUCAUCUCGGAGGGGGCUCGCGUUUUCACACAAACCCCCCUUUUAAAAGUGUAGAAUGACCUCAUUUAUGCGCUAACACGCAAUCAAUACAACUUUCAACAACGGAUCUCUUGGCUCUCGCAUCGAUGAAGAACGCAGCGAAAUGCGAUACGUAAUGUGAAUUGCAGAAUUCAGUGAAUCAUCGAAUCUUUGAACGCACCUUGCGCCCCUUGGUAUUCCGAGGGGCACACCCGUUUGAGUGUCGUGAAAACCUCAACCUCCUUGGUUUCUUCUGGAGACCAAAGGCAGGCUUGGACUUUGGAGGCCUUUGCUGGAACCUCUCUCUUUUGAAGGCCAGCUCCUCUUAAACGAAUUAGCAGGGUCCUCUUUGCCGAUCCUCGACGUGUGAUAAGAUGUUUCCAUGUCUUGGUUUCUGGCUCUGUCACUUUUGGGACCCGCUUCUAACCGUCUUGACCUUGCAUCGAGACAAUGUUCGAGCAUGUCUCCCUUCUCGGGAAGCUCCCUCGACCCCACGAACCCUUGACCUCAAAUCGGGUGAGACUACCCGCUGAACUUAAGCAUAUCAAUAAGCGGAGGAAAAGAAACUAACAAGGAUUCCCCUAGUAACUGCGAGUGAAGCGGGAAAAGCUCAAAUUUAAAAUCUGGCGGUCUUUGGCCGUCCGAGUUGUAAUUUAGAGAAGCGUCUUCCGCGCUGGACCGUGUACAAA
Molecule: ribosomal RNA, 821 nt
Filed under: Lactarius brunneohepaticus
Lineage: Eukaryota; Fungi; Basidiomycota; Agaricomycetes; Russulales; Russulaceae
Description: eukaryotic LSU rRNA
Rfam family: 5.8S ribosomal RNA (bases 205-358)
Source: RNAcentral